RNAcentral lists this ribosomal RNA (212 nucleotides) under Sclerococcales sp. RNAcentral describes it as "partial large subunit ribosomal RNA". The record is from RNAcentral. Lineage: Eukaryota; Fungi; Ascomycota; Eurotiomycetes; Sclerococcales.
AAGCGCUUGCGACCAGACUUGUUUGUAGGGUUCAGCCGUCGUUCUCGUCGGUGUAUUUCCCUAUCUACAGGCCAGCAUCAGUUCGGACGGAAGGUCAAAGGCCUUGGGAAUGUAGCAUCUUCCGGGAUGUCUUAUAGCCCUCGGUGUAAUGCUUCCUGCCCGGACUGAGGAACGCGCUUCGGCUCGGAUGCUGGCGUAAUGGUUCUAAGCGA